This 429-nucleotide ribosomal RNA is filed under the name Chloroflexota bacterium. RNAcentral describes it as "Chloroflexi bacterium partial 16S ribosomal RNA". It matches the Rfam family "Bacterial small subunit ribosomal RNA", at positions 355 to 776 of the family's 1533-position model. The record is from RNAcentral. Lineage: Bacteria; Bacillati; Chloroflexota.
UGGGGAAUAUUGCACAAUGGGCGCAAGCCUGAUGCAGCCAUGCCGCGUGUAUGAAGAAGGCCUUCGGGUUGUAAAGUACUUUCAGCGGGGAGGAAGGGAGUAAAGUUAAUACCUUUGCUCAUUGACGUUACCCGCAGAAGAAGCACCGGCUAACUCCGUGCCAGCAGCCGCGGUAAUACGGAGGGUGCAAUCGUUAAUCGGAAUUACUGGGCGUAAAGCGCACGCAGGCGGUUUGUUAAGUCAGAUGUGAAAUCCCCGGGCUCAACCUGGGAACUGCAGCUGAUACUGGCAAGCUUGAGUCUCGUAGAGGGGGGUAGAAUUCCGGGUGUAGCGGUGAAAUGCGUAGAGAUCUGGAGGAAUACCGGUGGCGAAGGCGGCCCCCUGGACGAAGACUGACGCUCAGGUGCGAAAGCGUGGGGAGCAAACAGG